RNAcentral lists this ribosomal RNA (506 nucleotides) under uncultured bacterium. RNAcentral's name for it is "partial 16S ribosomal RNA". It matches the Rfam family "Bacterial small subunit ribosomal RNA", at positions 29 to 523 of the family's 1533-position model. The record is from RNAcentral.
AGUGAACGCUGGCGGUAGGCCUAACACAUGCAAGUCGAACGGCAGCACAGGAGAGCUUGCUCUCUGGGUGGCGAGUGGCGGAUGGGUGAGGAAUACAUCGGAAUCUACUCUGUCGUGGGGGAUAACGUAGGGAAACUUACGCUAAUACCGCAUACGACCUACGGGUGAAAGCAGGGGAUCUUCGGACCUUGCGCGAUUGAAUGAGCCGAUGUCGGAUUAGCUAGUAGGCGGGGUAAAGGCCCACCAAGGCGACGAUCCGUAGCUGGUCUGAGAGGAUGAUCAGCCACACUGGAACUGAGACACGGUCCAGACUCCUACGGGAGGCAGCAGUGGGGAAUAUUGGACAAUGAGCGCAAGCCUGAUCCAGCCAUACCGCGUGGAUGAAGAAGGCCUUCGGGUUGUAAGGCCCUUUUGUUGGGAAAGAAAUCCAGCUGGCUAAUACCCGGUUGGGAUGACGGUACCCAAAGAAUAAGCACCGGCUAACUUCGUGCCAGCCGCCGCGGUAA